UCCUGGCUCAGGAUGAACGCUGGCGGCGUGCCUAAUACAUGCAAGUCGAACGAGUUCUCGUUGAUGAUCGGUGCUUGCACCGAGAUUCAACAUAGAACGAGUGGCGGACGGGUGAGUAACACGUGGGUAACCUGCCCUUAAGUGGGGGAUAACAUUUGGAAACAGAUGCUAAUACCGCAUAGAUCCAAGAACCGCAUGGUUCUUGGCUGAAAGAUGGCGUAAGCUAUCGCUUUUGGAUGGACCCGCGGCGUAUUAGCUAGUUGGUGAGGUAAUGGCUCACCAAGGCGAUGAUACGUAGCCGAACUGAGAGGUUGAUCGGCCACAUUGGGACUGAGACACGGCCCAAACUCCUACGGGAGGCAGCAGUAGGGAAUCUUCCACAAUGGACGCAAGUCUGAUGGAGCAACGCCGCGUGAGUGAAGAAGGCUUUCGGGUCGUAAAACUCUGUUGUUGGAGAAGAAUGGUCGGCAGAGUAACUGUUGUCGGCGUGACGGUAUCCAACCAGAAAGCCACGGCUAACUACGUGCCAGCAGCCGCGGUAAUACGUAGGUGGCAAGCGUUAUCCGGAUUUAUUGGGCGUAAAGCGAGCGCAGGCGGUUUUUUAAGUCUGAUGUGAAAGCCCUCGGCUUAACCGAGGAAGCGCAUCGGAAACUGGGAAACUUGAGUGCAGAAGAGGACAGUGGAACUCCAUGUGUAGCGGUGAAAUGCGUAGAUAUAUGGAAGAACACCAGUGGCGAAGGCGGCUGUCUGGUCUGCAACUGACGCUGAGGCUCGAAAGCAUGGGUAGCGAACAGGAUUAGAUACCCUGGUAGUCCAUGCCGUAAACGAUGAAUGCUAGGUGUUGGAGGGUUUCCGCCCUUCAGUGCCGCAGCUAACGCAUUAAGCAUUCCGCCUGGGGAGUACGACCGCAAGGUUGAAACUCAAAGGAAUUGACGGGGGCCCGCACAAGCGGUGGAGCAUGUGGUUUAAUUCGAAGCAACGCGAAGAACCUUACCAGGUCUUGACAUCUUUUGAUCACCUGAGAGAUCAGGUUUCCCCUUCGGGGGCAAAAUGACAGGUGGUGCAUGGUUGUCGUCAGCUCGUGUCGUGAGAUGUUGGGUUAAGUCCCGCAACGAGCGCAACCCUUAUGACUAGUUGCCAGCAUUUAGUUGGGCACUCUAGUAAGACUGCCGGUGACAAACCGGAGGAAGGUGGGGAUGACGUCAAAUCAUCAUGCCCCUUAUGACCUGGGCUACACACGUGCUACAAUGGAUGGUACAACGAGUUGCGAGACCGCGAGGUCAAGCUAAUCUCUUAAAGCCAUUCUCAGUUCGGACUGUAGGCUGCAACUCGCCUACACGAAGUCGGAAUCGCUAGUAAUCGCGGAUCAGCACGCCGCGGUGAAUACGUUCCCGGGCCUUGUACACACCGCCCGUCACACCAUGAGAGUUUGUAACACCCGAAGCCGGUGGCGUAACCCUUUUAGGGAGCGAGCCGUCUAAGGUGGGACAAAUGAUUAGGGUG
This 1503-nucleotide ribosomal RNA is filed under the name Lacticaseibacillus paracasei. Its description in RNAcentral is "bacterial SSU rRNA". It matches the Rfam family "Bacterial small subunit ribosomal RNA". The record is from RNAcentral. Lineage: Bacteria; Bacillati; Bacillota; Bacilli; Lactobacillales; Lactobacillaceae.